This 253-nucleotide ribosomal RNA is filed under the name uncultured bacterium. Its description in RNAcentral is "partial 16S ribosomal RNA". It matches the Rfam family "Bacterial small subunit ribosomal RNA", at positions 524 to 776 of the family's 1533-position model. The record is from RNAcentral.
UACGAAGGGUGCUAGCGUUACUCGGAAUUACUGGGCGUAAAGCGCGCGCAGGCGGCUUACCAAGUCAGAGGUGAAAUCCUGGGGCUCAACCCUAGAAUUGCCUUUGAAACUGGUGAGCUGGAGUCCGGAAGAGGAUGGUGGAAUAUCCAGUGUAGAGGUGAAAUUCGUAGAUAUUGGAUGGAACACCAGUGGCGAAGGCGGCCAUCUGGUCCGGUACUGACGCUGAGGCGCGAAAGCGUGGGGAUCAAACAGG